This 419-nucleotide ribosomal RNA is filed under the name bacterium. Its description in RNAcentral is "partial 16S ribosomal RNA". It matches the Rfam family "Bacterial small subunit ribosomal RNA", at positions 355 to 776 of the family's 1533-position model. The record is from RNAcentral.
UGGGGGAUAUUGCACAAUGGGCGAAAGCCUGAUGCAGCGACGCCGCGUGGGGGAUGAAGGCCUUCGGGUUGUAAACUUCUUUUGCUCUGAACAAGGCGCACCAUGGGGUGUGUUGAGUGUAGGGGUUGAUUAGCGCCGGCUAACUACGUGCCAGCAGCCGCGGUAAUACGUAGGGCGCGAGCGUUGUCCGGAAUUAUUGGGCGUAAAGGGCUUGUAGGUGGCUGGUUGCGUCUGUCGUGAAAGCUCAUGGCUUAACUGUGGGUUUGCGGUGGGUACGGGCUGGCUUGAGUGCAGUAGGGGAGGCUGGAAUUCCUGGUGUAGCGGUGGAAUGCGCAGAUAUCAGGAGGAAUACCGGUGGGGAAGGCGGGUCUCUGGGCUGUUACUGACACUGAGGAGCGAAAGCAUGGGGAGCGAACAGG